ACGUGAAGCCUAGUACUUAGUAUUGGGUGGAAAGUGGCGAACGGGUGAGUAACACGUUGGUGACCUGUCCCGAGGAGGGGGAUAACCGUGGGAAACCAUGGCUAAUACCCCGGAUGUCUAGGUGGUUAGAGGGCCUAGACUAAAGCUCCGGCGCCUUGGGAGGGGCCUGCGGGCUAUCAGCUUGUUGGUGGGGUAACGGCCUACCAAGGCUAAGACGGCUAGGGGGCGUGAGAGCGCGACCCCCCACAAUGGAACUGAGACACGGUCCAUACUCCUACGGGAGGCAGCAGUGAGGAAUAUUGCGCAAUGGGGGCAACCCUGACGCAGCAACGCCGCGUGGACGAUGAAGGCCUUCGGGUUGUAAAGUCCUUUUCUGAGGGGCGAUAAUGACGGUACCUCAGGAAUAAGUCCCGGUUAACUACGUGCCAGCAGCCGCGGUAAAACGUAGGGGGCGAGCGUUAUCCGGAUUUACUGGGCGUAAAGCGCACGUAGGCGGCGCCGUAAGUUGGACGUGAAAGCUCUCGGCUCAACUGAGAGAGGUCGUUCAAUACUGCGGUGAUUGAGGUUGGAAGAGGAGAGUGGAAUUCCCGGUGUAGUGGUGGAAUGCGUAGAUAUCGGGAGGAACACCAGUGGCGAAGGCGGCUCUCUGGUCCACACCUGACGCUGAGGUGCGAAAGCGUGGGGAGCGAACGGGAUUAGAUACCCCGGUAGUCCACGCCGUAAACGAUGGAUACUAGGUGUAGGAGGUUAUUUACCCCUUCUGUGCCGUAGCUAACGCGUUAAGUAUCCCGCCUGGGGACU
Molecule: ribosomal RNA, 801 nt
Filed under: uncultured bacterium
Lineage: Bacteria
Description: bacterial SSU rRNA
Rfam family: Bacterial small subunit ribosomal RNA
Source: RNAcentral